UACGUAGGGUGCGAGCGUUGUCCGGAAUUAUUGGGCGUAAAGAGCUCGUAGGCGGUUUGUCGCGUCGACUGUGAAAACCUACAGCUUAACUGUGGGCUUGCAGUCGAUACGGGCAGACUUGAGUUCGGUAGGGGAGGCUGGAAUUCCUGGUGUAGCGGUGAAAUGCGCAGAUAUCAGGAGGAACACCGGUGGCGAAGGCGGGUCUCUGGGCCGAUACUGACGCUGAGGAGCGAAAGCGUGGGGAGCGAACAGG
Molecule: ribosomal RNA, 253 nt
Filed under: uncultured bacterium
Lineage: Bacteria
Description: partial 16S ribosomal RNA
Rfam family: Bacterial small subunit ribosomal RNA
Source: RNAcentral